RNAcentral lists this long non-coding RNA (416 nucleotides) under Gopherus agassizii (Agassiz's desert tortoise). Its description in RNAcentral is "lncRNA (ENSGAGG00000001189.1)". Lineage: Eukaryota; Metazoa; Chordata; Testudines; Testudinidae. The record is from RNAcentral.
CAGAGAAUGUAACCUAAGAGAUUCUGGAACACAAAGUCAUAUUUAUUUUUCUUCUUCAAAGGUUCAAAGAAAGGCACCUGAAGAUGGCAAUUGAAAAGACCUCCCCAGGAGUUAAAAUAAACAGCACAACUAUUGUACUGAGGCAGAUUAUAUACUUGAACUGCUUAUGACUUUUUUCAAAAGUCAGCUCCAUUGUAUGUUGUUGUGGAAACUGUUCAGCUUCCGAUGGGGCAGAGUGGUGAGGAGGAAAACAAAUACGCCAUCCUCAUGUAAAGAAAAUGGACUGCACUGAAUACUUUCAAACCUGAAGAAUGGGCUUUGAACCACAGGGAUCAUGGGUGUCCUCAAGGCAACUGUUGUUCUGCACCUACGGUGGGACAAAAGUCAAAUCUUUAUGUUAAUAUUUACAUCUAUCA